This 432-nucleotide ribosomal RNA is filed under the name uncultured bacterium. Its description in RNAcentral is "partial 16S ribosomal RNA". It matches the Rfam family "Bacterial small subunit ribosomal RNA", at positions 29 to 507 of the family's 1533-position model. The record is from RNAcentral.
ACGAACGCUGGCGGCAGGCUUAACACAUGCAAGUCGAGCGAGACCUUCGGGUCUAGCGGCGGACGGGUGAGUCACGCGUGGGAACGUGCCCUUCUCUACGGAAUAGCCCCGGGAAACUGGGAGUAAUACCGUAUACGCCCUUUGGGGGAAAGAUUUAUCGGAGAAGGAUCGGCCCGCGUUGGAUUAGGUAGUUGGUGGGGUAAUGGCCCACCAAGCCGACGAUCCAUAGCUGGUUUGAGAGGAUGAUCAGCCACACUGGGACUGAGACACGGCCCAGACUCCUACGGGAGGCAGCAGUGGGGAAUCUUAGACAAUGGGGGCAACCCUGAUCUAGCCAUGCCGCGUGAGUGAUGAAGGCCUUAGGGUUGUAAAGCUCUUUCAGCUGGGAAGAUAAUGACGGUACCAGCAGAAGAAGCCCCGGCUAACUCCGUG